GACGAACGCUGGCGGCGUGCUUAACACAUGCAAGUCGAACGGAAAGGCCCUGCUUUUGUGGGGUGCUCGAGUGGCGAACGGGUGAGUAACACGUGAGUAACCUGCCCUUGACUUUGGGAUAACUUCAGGAAACUGGGGCUAAUACCGGAUAGGAGCUCCUGCUGCAUGGUGGGGGUUGGAAAGUUUCGGCGGUUGGGGAUGGACUCGCGGCUUAUCAGCUUGUUGGCGGGGUAGUGGCUUACCAAGGCUUUGACGGGUAGCCGGCCUGAGAGGGUGACCGGCCACAUUGGGACUGAGAUACGGCCCAGACUCCUACGGGAGGCAGCAGUGGGGAAUAUUGCACAAUGGGCGGAAGCCUGAUGCAGCAACGCCGCGUGCGGGAUGACGGCCUUCGGGUUGUAAACGCUUUCGCCUGUGACGAAGCGUGAGUGACGGUAAUGGGUAAAGAAGCACCGGCUAACUACGUG
RNAcentral lists this ribosomal RNA (467 nucleotides) under uncultured bacterium. RNAcentral describes it as "partial 16S ribosomal RNA". It matches the Rfam family "Bacterial small subunit ribosomal RNA", at positions 28 to 507 of the family's 1533-position model. The record is from RNAcentral.